This is a long non-coding RNA of Panthera uncia (snow leopard), 899 nucleotides long. RefSeq lists it as uncharacterized. The transcript is spliced from 5 exons. The record is from RefSeq and is a predicted model, not a curated record. NCBI's taxonomy places the organism in Eukaryota, Metazoa, Chordata, Mammalia, Carnivora, Felidae.
UGGGCCAGUUGCAGACCCUGACAGACGGUCGGAAGGUGGAGGAAGGAAGAGGCCGCAGCAUCUGUCUCCCUCCGCUUUGGGAAGCAACUCCGCCGUAUCUUCGAGUGUCCAGCCCCUCGGAAGUUCCCGUUUCCGCUGGGUGGUCCUGGAUCCUGGACUCUGGUGCAGCCUAAUUCCCCUCUCCUGGACCAGGAGGCAGAACUGGCUUUGUGACUCACCUCUGUCUAGGAGAAUGUGGCAAAUGUGACAAUGUGUGACUUCUGAUGUUAAGUCAUAAAAGCCAUCAAGCACACCAUCCUGGAAGUGGCAGCUCUGGCCCCAGUUAAGCCCUCGGAUGAGAGCAGCCCUCGCCAGUAUUUUGACUACAACUCAUGAGAGACCCUGCAUCAGAACUGCUCAGCCAAGCUGCUCUCAACUUCCAUAUCUGCAGAAACUACAAAAGAUAAUGGUUUUAUUUUUAAGUAAUCUCUACACCCAACAUGGUGGGGGUCCAACUUACAACCCCAAGAUCAAGACUCACGUGCUUUACGGACUGAGCCAGCCAGGCGCUCCUAGAAAUGUAAUUCUUAGCCCUGUCACUCAUUAAGAGGCAGGCUCUCCCCAAACCACCGCGAGAUGGCCACCAGCAGCCUCAGGCUUCCAGCCGAGUUUUGCAUCAACCACAUGGGAAGAACAAUGAACCAAAUGAAACAUUACCUUUUCUGAGAGGUCCAGGAGGAACACCUGGGUGGCUCAGUCGGUUAAGCGUCCGACUUUGGCUCGGGUCAUGAUCUCGCGGUUCGUGGGUUCGAGCCCCGCGUCGGGCUCUGGGCUGACAGCUCGGAGCCCGGAGCCUGCUUCGGAUUCUGUGUCUCCCUCUCUCCCUCUGCCCCUCCCCACUCAUGUUCUGUCUCUCUCUC